GUGCCAGCAGCCGCGGUAAUACGAAGGGGGCUAGCGUUGUUCGGAAUUACUGGGCGUAAAGCGCGCGUAGGCGGACAUCUAAGUCAGGGGUGAAAUCCCAGGGCUCAACCCUGGAACUGCCUUUGAUACUGGACGUCUGGAGUUCGGGAGAGGUGAGUGGAAUUCCGAGUGUAGAGGUGAAAUUCGUAGAUAUUCGGAGGAACACCAGAAGCGAAGGCGGCUCACUGGCCCGAUACUGACGCUGAGGCGCGAAAGCGUGGGGAGCAAACAGGAUUAGAUACCCGCGUAGUCC
RNAcentral lists this ribosomal RNA (292 nucleotides) under uncultured bacterium. RNAcentral describes it as "partial 16S ribosomal RNA". It matches the Rfam family "Bacterial small subunit ribosomal RNA", at positions 505 to 796 of the family's 1533-position model. The record is from RNAcentral.